Molecule: ribosomal RNA, 275 nt
Filed under: uncultured bacterium
Lineage: Bacteria
Description: partial 16S ribosomal RNA
Rfam family: Bacterial small subunit ribosomal RNA
Source: RNAcentral
CCUACGGGAGGCUGCAGUCGAGGAUCUUCGGCAAUGGGCGGAAGCCUGACCGAGCGACGCCGCGUGCGCGACGAAGGCCCUCGGGUUGUAAAGCGCGAAGGCACCGAGGAAGGGAAACUUGACCGAGGUGCAGUAAGCACGGGCUAAGUUCGUGCCAGCAGCCGCGGUAAGACGAACCGUGCGAACGUUGUUCGGAAUCACUGGGCUUAAAGGGCGCGUAGGCGGCCCGCCGCGUCCGGGGUGAAAGCCUCCGGCUUAACCGGAGAAGUGCCCCG